GCCAUAGCCCAGUGGCAGAGCAUCUGCUUUGAAUGCAGAAGGACCCAGGUUCAAUCCCAGGGAUCUCCA
Non-coding RNA from Podarcis lilfordi (Lilford's wall lizard), 69 nucleotides. NCBI's taxonomy places the organism in Eukaryota, Metazoa, Chordata, Lepidosauria, Squamata, Lacertidae. The record is from the annotation of a GenBank genome assembly.